CUAGGAUUAGAUACCCUAUUAUUUAAAAUGUAAAAACUAAAGUAUUAAUAGUUAUAGUCUUUAAACUUAAAAAAUUUGGCGGUAUUUUAGUCUAUUCAGAGGAACCUGUUUUAUAAUCGAUAUUCCACGUUGGACCUUACUUUAAUUUAUAAAUUAGUUUAUAUACCGUCGUUAUAAAAAAUUUUAUAAGAAUAAUAAUUUUUAAAAUUAUAUAUCAGAUCAAGGUGUAGCUUAUAUUAAAGCAAAUAAUGGGUUACAAUAAAAUUAUUUAUAUGAAUAUAAAAAUGAAAAAUUUAUUAAAAGAGGAUUUGAAAGUAAAAUUAAAUAGAUUAUUAAUUUGAUUUUAGCUCUAAAAUAUGUACAUAUCGCCCGUCACUCUUAUUAUUAAAAUAAGAUAAG
RNAcentral lists this ribosomal RNA (399 nucleotides) under Melaloncha lacerna. RNAcentral's name for it is "partial 12S ribosomal RNA". Lineage: Eukaryota; Metazoa; Arthropoda; Insecta; Diptera; Phoridae. The record is from RNAcentral.